RNAcentral lists this ribosomal RNA (468 nucleotides) under uncultured bacterium. Its description in RNAcentral is "partial 16S ribosomal RNA". It matches the Rfam family "Bacterial small subunit ribosomal RNA", at positions 28 to 507 of the family's 1533-position model. The record is from RNAcentral.
GACGAACGCUGGCGGCGUGCUUAACACAUGCAAGUCGAACGGAAAGGCCCUGCUUUUGUGGGGUGCUCGAGUGGCGAACGGGUGAGUAACACGUGAGUAACCUGCCCUUGACUUUGGGAUAACUUCAGGAAACUGGGGCUAAUACCGGAUAGGAGCUCCUGCUGCAUGGUGGGGGUUGGAAAGUUUCGGCGGUUGGGGAUGGACGCGCGGCUUAUCAGCUUGUUGGUGGGGUAGUGGCUUACCAAGGCUUUGACGGGUAGCCGGCCUGAGAGGGUGAACGGCCACAUUGGGACUGAGAUACGGCCCAGACUCCUACGGGAGGCAGCAGUGGGGAAUAUUGCACAAUGGGCGGAAGCCUGAUGCAGCAACGCCGCGUGCGGGAUGACGGCCUUCGGGUUGUAAACCGCUUUCGCCUGUGACGAAGCGUGAGUGACGGUAAUGGGUAAAGAAGCACCGGCUAACUACGUG